Molecule: ribosomal RNA, 434 nt
Filed under: uncultured Ruminococcus sp.
Lineage: Bacteria; Bacillati; Bacillota; Clostridia; Eubacteriales; Oscillospiraceae
Description: partial 16S ribosomal RNA
Rfam family: Bacterial small subunit ribosomal RNA
Source: RNAcentral
ACGGAAGGCAGCAGUGGGGAAUAUUGCACGAUGGGGGAAACCCUGAUGCAGCGAUGCCGCGUGGAGGAAGAAGGUUUUCGGAUUGUAAACUCCUGUCUUAAGGGACGAUAAUGACGGUACCUUAGGAGGAAGCUCCGGCUAACUACGUGCCAGCAGCCGCGGUAAUACGUAGGGAGCGAGCGUUGUCCGGAAUUACUGGGUGUAAAGGGAGCGUAGGCGGGAUGGCAAGUCAGAUGUGAAAACUAUGGGCUCAACCCAUAGACUGCAUUUGAAACUGUUGUUCUUGAGUGAAGUAGAGGUAAGCGGAAUUCCUAGUGUAGCGGUGAAAUGCGUAGAUAUUAGGAGGAACAUCGGUGGCGAAGGCGGCUUACUGGGCUUUUACUGACGCUGAGGCUCGAAAGCGUGGGGAGCAAACAGGAUUAGAUACCCUGGUA